AGGAUGAACGCUGGCGGCGUGCUUAACACAUGCAAGUCGAACGGUGAAGCAGGAGCUUGCUCUUGUGGAUCAGUGGCGAACGGGUGAGUAACACGUGAGUAACCUGCCCUUGACUCUGGGAUAAGCACUGGAAACGGUGUCUAAUACCGGAUACGACCUCCGAAGGCAUCUUCUGGAGGUGGAAAGAAUUUCGGUCAGGGAUGGACUCGCGGCCUAUCAGCUAGUUGGUGAGGUAAUGGCCCACCAAGGCGACGACGGGUAGCCGGCCUGAGAGGGUGACCGGCCACACUGGGACUGAGACACGGCCCAGACUCCUACGGGAGGCAGCAGUGGGGAAUAUUGCACAAUGGGCGCAAGCCUGAUGCAGCAACGCCGCGUGAGGGACGACGGCCUUCGGGUUGUAAACCUCUUUUAGUAGGGAAGAAGCGAAAGUGACGGUACCUGCAGAAAAGCACCGGCUAACUACGUGCCAGCAGCCGCGGU
RNAcentral lists this ribosomal RNA (483 nucleotides) under uncultured bacterium. RNAcentral's name for it is "SSU rRNA". It matches the Rfam family "Bacterial small subunit ribosomal RNA", at positions 26 to 521 of the family's 1533-position model. The record is from RNAcentral.